This 77-nucleotide transfer RNA is filed under the name Granulicella aggregans. RNAcentral's name for it is "tRNA-Arg". It matches the Rfam family "tRNA". Rfam says of the family: Transfer RNA (tRNA) molecules are approximately 80 nucleotides in length. Their secondary structure includes four short double-helical elements and three loops (D, anti-codon, and T loops). The record is from RNAcentral. Lineage: Bacteria; Pseudomonadati; Acidobacteriota; Terriglobia; Terriglobales; Acidobacteriaceae. RNAcentral also lists the same sequence under 24 other names.
GGCCCGGUAGCUCAGUUGCAUAGAGCAGCGCACUCCUAACGCGAAGGUCGCAGGUUGGACUCCUGCCCGGGCCACCA